Budorcas taxicolor (takin) is the source of this 594-nucleotide long non-coding RNA. RefSeq lists it as uncharacterized. Lineage: Eukaryota; Metazoa; Chordata; Mammalia; Artiodactyla; Bovidae. The record is from RefSeq and is a predicted model, not a curated record. The transcript is spliced from 4 exons.
GCUGCUCGGGAAGCGAGUGCAGGUCUUCAGGCACUGCAGAAUGUCUUCUGUCUGUGGUCUCUACAAAGAUUUAGCUAACACACAGAGCCUAUGAGAUCGCAGAAAAGCAGCCUUCGGUCUUGAAUGAGUCUGGGGCCUGUCCCUGAUGGCCUGGCACCUGUUGAGUGGACGUGUCUGGAAGUGGGAAUGGGUGAUAACCCUGCCUUCUGGAUACAUGGAGAGAGGUCCCUGGAGGUUGAGGAGAGCAUUUCCUCGAUGCUCAGAUUAUGGAUCAACCUGGGUCGUUUCACCCCUGGUCCAACUGUGCUGAAGCCAGAUGCACCUCUGGGCCCUGCAGUUUUGUGGUUCAAUACAGCCUUCCCUUCGUUAGAGCCAGCUUACCACAGAAGAGAGUCCUGGCUGAUACAGCUCAACCACCGCACUCUUCAGUAAAGCUCUGCCCAAGAACCUCGAGGCAAAACCAACUAAUGAAACGUCCACGGCCACGCAGACUCUUCAGAAGUGGUUUUGGCAGAACACCUGAGUGCACCGUCUCCCCAGAUUGCCGGCAUUCUGAUUAAAAGGAACUUUCUGUCAGUCAACAGCUGCUUCUCG